RNAcentral lists this ribosomal RNA (2926 nucleotides) under Bacillus amyloliquefaciens LL3. RNAcentral describes it as "bacterial LSU rRNA". It matches the Rfam family "Bacterial large subunit ribosomal RNA". Lineage: Bacteria; Bacillati; Bacillota; Bacilli; Caryophanales; Bacillaceae. The record is from RNAcentral.
UUAAGUUAGAAAGGGCGCACGGUGGAUGCCUUGGCACUAGGAGCCGAUGAAGGACGGGACGAACACCGAUAUGCUUCGGGGAGCUGUAAGCAAGCUUUGAUCCGGAGAUUUCCGAAUGGGGAAACCCACCACUCGUAAUGGAGUGGUAUCCAUAUCUGAAUACAUAGGAUAUGAGAAGGCAGACCCGGGGAACUGAAACAUCUAAGUACCCGGAGGAAGAGAAAGCAAAUGCGAUUCCCUGAGUAGCGGCGAGCGAAACGGGAUCAGCCCAAACCAAGAGGCUUGCCUCUUGGGGUUGUAGGACACUCUGUACGGAGUUACAAAGGAACGAGGUAGAUGAAGAGGUCUGGAAAGGCCCGCCAUAGGAGGUAACAGCCCUGUAGUCAAAACUUCGUUCUCUCCUGAGUGGAUCCUGAGUACGGCGGAACACGUGAAAUUCCGUCGGAAUCCGGGAGGACCAUCUCCCAAGGCUAAAUACUCCCUAGUGACCGAUAGUGAACCAGUACCGUGAGGGAAAGGUGAAAAGCACCCCGGAAGGGGAGUGAAAGAGAUCCUGAAACCGUGUGCCUACAAGUAGUCAGAGCCCGUUAACGGGUGAUGGCGUGCCUUUUGUAGAAUGAACCGGCGAGUUACGAUCCCGUGCAAGGUUAAGCAGAAGAUGCGGAGCCGCAGCGAAAGCGAGUCUGAAUAGGGCGAAUUGAGUACGUGGUCGUAGACCCGAAACCAGGUGAUCUACCCAUGUCCAGGGUGAAGUUCAGGUAACACUGAAUGGAGGCCCGAACCCACGCACGUUGAAAAGUGCGGGGAUGAGGUGUGGGUAGGGGUGAAAUGCCAAUCGAACCUGGAGAUAGCUGGUUCUCUCCGAAAUAGCUUUAGGGCUAGCCUCAAGGUAAGAGUCUCGGAGGUAGAGCACUGAUUGGACUAGGGGCCCCUACCGGGUUACCGAAUUCAGUCAAACUCCGAAUGCCGAUGACUUAUCCUUGGGAGUCAGACUGCGAGUGAUAAGAUCCGUAGUCGAAAGGGAAACAGCCCAGACCGCCAGCUAAGGUCCCAAAGUAUACGUUAAGUGGAAAAGGAUGUGGAGUUGCUUAGACAACCAGGAUGUUGGCUUAGAAGCAGCCACCAUUUAAAGAGUGCGUAAUAGCUCACUGGUCGAGUGACUCUGCGCCGAAAAUGUACCGGGGCUAAACGUAUCACCGAAGCUGCGGACUGUUCUUCGAACAGUGGUAGGAGAGCGUUCUAAGGGCUGUGAAGCAAGACCGGAAGGACUUGUGGAGCGCUUAGAAGUGAGAAUGCCGGUAUGAGUAGCGAAAGAGGGGUGAGAAUCCCCUCCACCGAAUGCCUAAGGUUUCCUGAGGAAGGCUCGUCCGCUCAGGGUUAGUCGGGACCUAAGCCGAGGCCGAAAGGCGUAGGCGAUGGAUAACAGGUUGAUAUUCCUGUACCACCUCCUCACCAUUUGAGCAAUGGGGGGACGCAGGAGGAUAGGGUAAGCGCGGUAUUGGAUAUCCGCGUCCAAGCAGUUAGGCUGGGAAAUAGGCAAAUCCGUUUCCCGUGAAGGCUGAGCUGUGAUGGCGAGCGAAUUAUAGUAGCGAAGUUCCUGAUUCCACACUGCCAAGAAAAGCCUCUAGCGAGGUGAGAGGUGCCCGUACCGCAAACCGACACAGGUAGGCGAGGAGAGAAUCCUAAGGUGAUCGAGAGAACUCUCGUUAAGGAACUCGGCAAAAUGACCCCGUAACUUCGGGAGAAGGGGUGCUCUGUUAGGGUGCAAGCCCGAGAGAGCCGCAGUGAAUAGGCCCAGGCGACUGUUUAGCAAAAACACAGGUCUCUGCGAAGCCGUAAGGCGAAGUAUAGGGGCUGACGCCUGCCCGGUGCUGGAAGGUUAAGAGGAGCGCUUAGCGUAAGCGAAGGUGCGAAUUGAAGCCCCAGUAAACGGCGGCCGUAACUAUAACGGUCCUAAGGUAGCGAAAUUCCUUGUCGGGUAAGUUCCGACCCGCACGAAAGGCGCAACGAUCUGGGCACUGUCUCAACGAGAGACUCGGUGAAAUUAUAGUACCUGUGAAGAUGCAGGUUACCCGCGACAGGACGGAAAGACCCCGUGGAGCUUUACUGCAGCCUGAUAUUGAAUGUUGGUACAGCUUGUACAGGAUAGGUAGGAGCCUUGGAAACCGGAGCGCCAGCUUCGGUGGAGGCAUCGGUGGGAUACUACCCUGGCUGUAUUGACCUUCUAACCCGCCGCCCUUAUCGGGCGGGGAGACAGUGUCAGGUGGGCAGUUUGACUGGGGCGGUCGCCUCCUAAAAGGUAACGGAGGCGCCCAAAGGUUCCCUCAGAAUGGUUGGAAAUCAUUCGCAGAGUGUAAAGGCACAAGGGAGCUUGACUGCGAGACCUACAAGUCGAGCAGGGACGAAAGUCGGGCUUAGUGAUCCGGUGGUUCCGCAUGGAAGGGCCAUCGCUCAACGGAUAAAAGCUACCCCGGGGAUAACAGGCUUAUCUCCCCCAAGAGUCCACAUCGACGGGGAGGUUUGGCACCUCGAUGUCGGCUCAUCGCAUCCUGGGGCUGUAGUCGGUCCCAAGGGUUGGGCUGUUCGCCCAUUAAAGCGGUACGCGAGCUGGGUUCAGAACGUCGUGAGACAGUUCGGUCCCUAUCCGUCGCGGGCGCAGGAAAUUUGAGAGGAUCUGUCCUUAGUACGAGAGGACCGGGAUGGACGCACCGCUGGUGUACCAGUUGUUCUGCCAAGGGCAUCGCUGGGUAGCUAUGUGCGGACGGGAUAAGUGCUGAAAGCAUCUAAGCAUGAAGCCCCCCUCAAGAUGAGAUUUCCCAUUCCGCAAGGAAGUAAGAUCCCUGAAAGAUGAUCAGGUUGAUAGGUCUGAGGUGGAAGUGUGGCGACACAUGGAGCUGACAGAUACUAAUCGAUCGAGGACUUAACC